Molecule: long non-coding RNA, 547 nt
Organism: Mytilus californianus (California mussel)
Lineage: Eukaryota; Metazoa; Mollusca; Bivalvia; Mytilida; Mytilidae
Exons: 4
Source: RefSeq, a predicted model, not a curated record
UAAUUUUAUAUACAGGAUCAAGGAAACAUUCUAUUUUGAGAAGAAAAUAGCAGGAUAAAGCAAAACAAAAACUCCCAAAAAAACAGAAAAGAAAUGUGCCAUUUCACACUGCAAGACUACAUAAAGAAGAAGACUCGAAGCCCAAUUUUAUAUCAUCAUUAGGAUCACUAUAGAGGUAUAAUCUUCAGAAUGAAUAGCACAGCAUUUGUAUUUGGUAUUGUUCUCCUAGCUUUAGGUAUGCAAGAAUCAUUUCAGCAAGUUUGUACAAACAAAUUUUGUAAAACUCGCCCAAACAGCAUUGGAUGUGAAGGUUGUUGUGUAGGAUUUAAGUGUAACGGCGCGGUUGGUUAUUGCGAAAAUUCUAAAUGUUAUUGCAACGGCUGUGAAAUGACAGCUUCAGCUGGCGAGGAUUCUGGGACAUUUGCAGCCAACACAGUGACAAAUCAUGUAAUGAAGUAAUACAAAAAGGACAUAAAUAUAUAUAAACUGCUAAAUGAUAGAAAUUGUUAUGCUUCCUUGCCAGAGAAUUGCAUUAAAAUCUUUAAUU